Molecule: ribosomal RNA, 253 nt
Filed under: uncultured bacterium
Lineage: Bacteria
Description: partial 16S ribosomal RNA
Rfam family: Bacterial small subunit ribosomal RNA
Source: RNAcentral
UACGUAGGGGGCAAGCGUUGUCCGGAUUUAUUGGGCGUAAAGCGCGUGUAGGCGGCCAGAUAGGUCUGCUGUGAAAACUCGAGGCUCAACCUCGAGCUGUCGGCGGAAACCAUCUGGCUAGAGUCCGGAAGAGGAGAGUGGAAUUCCUGGUGUAGCGGUGAAAUGCGCAGAUAUCAGGAAGAACACCUCUGGCGAAGGCAGCUCUCUGGGACGGUACUGACGCUGAGACGCGAAAGCGUGGGGAGCGAACAGG